This 439-nucleotide ribosomal RNA is filed under the name uncultured bacterium. RNAcentral's name for it is "partial 16S ribosomal RNA". It matches the Rfam family "Bacterial small subunit ribosomal RNA", at positions 339 to 795 of the family's 1533-position model. The record is from RNAcentral.
CUACGGGGUGUAGCAGUGAGGAAUAUUGCACAAUGGGGGGAACCCUGAUGCAGCAACGCCGCGUGGAGGAUGACGCAUUUCGGUGUGUAAACUCCUUUUAUAUGUCAAGAGAAUGACGGUAGCAUAUGAAUAAGCACCGGCUAACUCCGUGCCAGCAGCGGCGGUAAUACGGAGGGUGCAAGCGUUACUCGGAAUCACUGGGCGUAAAGGACGCGUAGGCGGGUUGGAAAGUCAGGUGUGAAAUCCUACAGCUUAACUGUAGAACUGCACUUGAAACUUCUAAUUUAGAGUAUGGGAGGGGGAGAUGGAAUUAGUGGUGUAGGGGUAAAAUCCGUAGAUAUCACUAGGAAUACCUAAAGCGAAGGCGAUCUCCUGGAACAUUACUGACGCUAAGGCGUGAAAGCGUGGGGAGCAAACAGGAUUAGAUACCCCCGUAGUC